RNAcentral lists this ribosomal RNA (33 nucleotides) under Poa supina. RNAcentral describes it as "partial 18S ribosomal RNA". Lineage: Eukaryota; Viridiplantae; Streptophyta; Magnoliopsida; Poales; Poaceae. The record is from RNAcentral.
GGUUUCCGUAGGUAAACCUGCGGAAGGAUCAUU